This 304-nucleotide unclassified non-coding RNA is filed under the name plant metagenome. Its description in RNAcentral is "partial contains 5.8S ribosomal RNA, internal transcribed spacer 2, and large subunit ribosomal RNA". The stretch from base 1 to 105 matches the Rfam family "5.8S ribosomal RNA", at positions 50 to 154 of the family's 154-position model. The record is from RNAcentral.
GAAAUGCGAUAAGUAGUGUGAAUUGCAGAAUUCAGUGAAUCAUCGAAUCUUUGAACGCACAUUGCGCCCUUUGGUAUCCCUUGGGGCAUGCCUGUUCGAGCGUCAUCUAAACCCUCAAGCCCUGCUUGGUGUUGGGUGCCUGUCCCGCCCCCGUUCGUGGACUCACCUCAAAUCCAUUGGCGGCCCUCGUGCCGGCCCCGAGCGCAGCAGAAACGCGGUCUCGUGGCCCGGCGGAGCGUGCCCCCAGAAGCAACAUUCACCGUUUUGACCUCGGAUCAGGUAGGGAUACCCGCUGAACUUAAGC